GUGAUCUUAGUGAAAAGCAUCGCUUAUCGGACUACGAAUCCGUAGGUUAGAGGUUCGAAUCCUCUUGGGCGCGC
RNAcentral lists this transfer RNA (74 nucleotides) under Syntrophorhabdaceae bacterium PtaU1.Bin034. Its description in RNAcentral is "tRNA-Arg". It matches the Rfam family "tRNA". Rfam says of the family: Transfer RNA (tRNA) molecules are approximately 80 nucleotides in length. The record is from RNAcentral. Lineage: Bacteria; Pseudomonadati; Thermodesulfobacteriota; Syntrophorhabdia; Syntrophorhabdales; Syntrophorhabdaceae.